This 762-nucleotide long non-coding RNA is filed under the name Homo sapiens (human). RNAcentral describes it as "long intergenic non-protein coding RNA 632". Lineage: Eukaryota; Metazoa; Chordata; Mammalia; Primates; Hominidae. The record is from RNAcentral.
GGUGACAACGUGGCACAGAACGGCACUGCAUCGGAGUAGGCACACUGCAAAGACGAGACGAGUCCUCCCCAGAGAGGGGAGGCGGUUAAGGAGAGGAGAUUGCGUGGCUCGGAGCAGCCAGACCCGAUGGUGUGCUUCUCACCUCAGCGUGAUAGCCUGACCUUGACUCCUGAGUUCCACGAUCGCUUCACAACUGCAAGUCACCAUCAUACAAAAUUUGAGUUUCCCUAAGUCCGCGCCUUUGAGAGCUUUGGAACGAUAUGCAAGUUCAAGUCACCAUCCUGUUUCUUGCUACCUCCUGUGAGAAGACCAACAUUUGGGUUACACUUGUUUCUACUCUUGUUCUUCUGCUUGUUAUUGUUGCCUCUGCAGCCAUUGAUCACACACGUGUUGUCAUACAAAAACUGCACAUUGGUAAAGACUUUAUAACUUCCAGGACAAUGCAGAUUGAUGUUGAUUAAUAAAGAGCAGGCAACCUUCUGUUUUUGGCUCUAAUAGAAAUGCCUCAUUGUUUAACUAUUAUAAUUGCCAUUGUUUCUGAUAAAUGCCCCUUUUCAAGUUAUGGAAAUGCCCUUCUGUUCUUGAUUGACUUAUAAUUUUAUCAGGGAUGGAUAAAGAAUGUUAUCAAGAUGCCUCUUCUGGCAUCUGACAAGCUGAUAUCCAGGUGAUGAUAUGGUUAUUCUCUCUAAUCCAUUAAUGUAGUUAAUUACAUAAUGUUGAGCUAUUCUUAGAUUCCUGGAAUAAAACUGAUUUGGUAAUGGU